This 301-nucleotide ribosomal RNA is filed under the name uncultured bacterium. Its description in RNAcentral is "partial 16S ribosomal RNA". It matches the Rfam family "Bacterial small subunit ribosomal RNA", at positions 509 to 807 of the family's 1533-position model. The record is from RNAcentral.
CAGCCGCCACGGGAAUACGAAGGGGGCUAGCGUUGCUCGGAAUGACUGGGCGUAAAGGGCGCGUAGGCGGCGAUCAAAGUCAGGCGUGAAAUUCCUGGGCUCAACCUGGGGGCUGCGCUUGAUACUUGGUUGCUUGAGUGGGGAAGAGGGUCGUGGAAUUCCCAGUGUAGAGGUGAAAUUCGUAGAUAUUGGGAAGAACACCGGUGGCGAAGGCGGCGACCUGGUCCUUGACUGACGCUGAGGCGCGAAAGCGUGGGGAGCAAGCAGGAUUAGAUACCCCAGUAGUCCCUGUCUCUUAUAC